UUAAAUAAAGUUUUAUUUAAACUCUAAGUCGCGCGUUGAUGACGUCUACAAGGAGCGCUGUGUUUGGAGGUUCAUGUUCGUGAACCGGCGGGGUUGAUGACAUUUACGCGCGUCUGAAGGCAUCGCUCGUGCAGGGCUGAACUCUCCACACCGCCGGAUUCGGUCCGGUCCGGUUCCAGACGCCCAGAUCCGCCAUCUUGGUUUGGUUCGGGAGGUCAUCCGGCGGUUCUGAUUCCAAACCGAACCGGAUCGAUGAAUGUGAUCAGAUGUCUGUCAGCCUCAGUUCAACAGUAGGCGUGUUUGAGUUGACCAAGCUGCUGCAGGAGGGGGCGGAGCAAGACACCUGAGAUGAAGGUCCUCCAUGUUGACGUCACAGUUGACCUCUGGGACCUUCCGCUGCUCAGGCUCCGCCCCUGAACACACGACCUGCUGCAGCCUUCUCAGGCUCCGCCCCUGAACCCACGACCUGCUGCAGCCUUCUCAGGCUCCGCCCCUGAACCUUCUACCACCUGUGG
Molecule: long non-coding RNA, 515 nt
Filed under: Oryzias javanicus (javanese ricefish)
Lineage: Eukaryota; Metazoa; Chordata; Actinopteri; Beloniformes; Adrianichthyidae
Description: lncRNA (ENSOJAG00000020088.1)
Source: RNAcentral